UGACCGUGCUAAGGUAGCAUAAUCAUUUGCCUUUUAGUUGGAGGCUGGRAUAANUGGAGAGACGUUGUCUCGUCUUUUUUGGCCCAUGAAAUUGAACUUGAUAUUUGCUUCAAAAAGAGCAACUAUCUGGAGAGACGAUAAGACCCUAUAAAACUUUAUCUGUAACAAUGACUUACAUUUAGGCUGCAAGGGUUUAGAAGGAUUGAGCUGGGGCGGCAUUCAAAGAACCUUGAAAGAUAUAACACAUCCAAGUGACCAUAGAGAUCUUAACCAAAGGUGGAACAAGUUACUUUAGGGAUAACAGCGCAAUUCUCUCGUAUAGCUCUUAUAGAAGAGAGAGACUUGCGACCUCGAUGUUGAAUUGAGGGGCCGGGGCUAAGUAGAAAUAGCUUUAGGGGGUCUGUUCGACCCAUUAUACCUCA
This 422-nucleotide ribosomal RNA is filed under the name Pseudomesus sp. Its description in RNAcentral is "partial 16S ribosomal RNA". Lineage: Eukaryota; Metazoa; Arthropoda; Malacostraca; Isopoda; Desmosomatidae. The record is from RNAcentral.